AUCUUCGGGGCAGGGUGAAAUUCCCGACCGGUGGUAUAGCCCACGAACCGCAAGGUUGAUUCGGUUAAAUUCCGAAGCCGACAGUAAAGUCUGAUAGUAGAAGAU
Molecule: non-coding RNA, 105 nt
Filed under: uncultured Lacrimispora sp.
Lineage: Bacteria; Bacillati; Bacillota; Clostridia; Lachnospirales; Lachnospiraceae
Description: FMN riboswitch (RFN element)
Rfam family: FMN riboswitch aptamer (RFN element)
About the family: The RFN element is a highly conserved domain that is found frequently in the 5'-untranslated regions of prokaryotic mRNAs that encode for flavin mononucleotide (FMN) biosynthesis and transport proteins. This element is a metabolite-dependent riboswitch that directly binds FMN in the absence of proteins.
Source: RNAcentral